GUGCUCACUUUGGCAACAUAUACACUAAAAAUUGGAACGAUACAGAGCAGAUUAGCAUGAGCCCUGUGCAAGGAUAACAUGCAAAUUUGUAAAGCAUUCCAUGAUUAA
RNAcentral lists this small nuclear RNA (108 nucleotides) under Salvator merianae (Argentine black and white tegu). The record is from RNAcentral. Lineage: Eukaryota; Metazoa; Chordata; Lepidosauria; Squamata; Teiidae.